Xenopus laevis (African clawed frog) is the source of this 82-nucleotide non-coding RNA. The record is from Rfam. Lineage: Eukaryota; Metazoa; Chordata; Amphibia; Anura; Pipidae.
CCGCUGUGAUGAUUCUCCCAUUGGUUUCGCUUGUUUCUGAGAAGCAGUGACGUCUCCUUGUUCCUAUUGGCUGUCUGAGCGA